This 497-nucleotide ribosomal RNA is filed under the name uncultured bacterium. Its description in RNAcentral is "partial 16S ribosomal RNA". It matches the Rfam family "Bacterial small subunit ribosomal RNA", at positions 28 to 507 of the family's 1533-position model. The record is from RNAcentral.
GAUGAACGCUGGCGGCGUGCCCAAUACAUGCAAGUCGAACGCAUAGCGAAAGGUGCUUGCACCUUUCAAGUGAGUGGCGAACGGGUGAGUAACACGUGGACAACCUGCCUCAAGGCUGGGGAUAACAUUUGGAAACAGAUGCUAAUACCGAAUAAAACUUAGUGUCGCAUGACACAAAGUUAAAAGGCGCUUCGGCGUCACCUAGAGAUGGAUCCGCGGUGCAUUAGUUAGUUGGUGGGGUAAAGGCCUACCAAGACAAUGAUGCAUAGCCGAGUUGAGAGACUGAUCGGCCACAUUGGGACUGAGACACGGCCCAAACUCCUACGGGAGGCUGCAGUAGGGAAUCUUCCACAAUGGGCGAAAGCCUGAUGGAGCAACGCCGCGUGUGUGAUGAAGGCUUUCGGGUCGUAAAGCACUGUUGUAUGGGAAGAACAGCUAGAAUAGGAAAUGAUUUUAGCUUGACGGUACCAUACCAGAAAGGGACGGCUAAAUACGUG